Molecule: ribosomal RNA, 505 nt
Filed under: uncultured bacterium
Lineage: Bacteria
Description: partial 16S ribosomal RNA
Rfam family: Bacterial small subunit ribosomal RNA
Source: RNAcentral
GACGAACGCUGGCGGCGUGCCUAAUACAUGCAAGUAGAACGCACAGUUUAUACCGUAGCUUGCUACACCAUAGACUGUGAGUUGCGAACGGGUGAGUAACGCGUAGGUAACCUGCCUGGUAGCGGGGGAUAACUAUUGGAAACGAUAACUAAUACCGCAUAAUAUUAAUUAUUGCAUGAUAAUUAAUUGAAAGGUGCAAUUGCACCACUACCAGAUGGACCUGCGUUGUAUUAGCUAGUAGGUGAGGUAACGGCUCACCUAGGCGACGAUACAUAGCCGACCUGAGAGGGUGAUCGGCCACACUGGGACUGAGACACGGCCCAGACUCCUACGGGAGGCAGCAGUAGGGAAUCUUCGGCAAUAGACGAAAGUCUGACCGAGCAACGCCGCGUGAGUGAAGAAGGUUUUCGGAUCGUAAAGCUCUGUUGUAAGAGAAGAACGGGUGUGAGAGUGGAAAGUUCACACUGUGACGGUAUCUUACCAGAAAGGGACGGCUAACUACGUG